RNAcentral lists this ribosomal RNA (463 nucleotides) under uncultured bacterium. RNAcentral describes it as "partial 16S ribosomal RNA". It matches the Rfam family "Bacterial small subunit ribosomal RNA", at positions 28 to 507 of the family's 1533-position model. The record is from RNAcentral.
GACGAACGCUGGCGGCGUGCUUAACACAUGCAAGUCGAACGGAAAGGCCUUUUCGGAGGUACUCGAGUGGCGAACGGGUGAGUAACACGUGGGUGAUCUGCCCUGCACUCUGGGAUAAGCCUGGGAAACUGGGUCUAAUACCGGAUAGGACCGCACUUUAGUGUGUGUGGUGGAAAGUUUUUUCGGUGUAGGAUGAGCCCGCGGCCUAUCAGCUUGUUGGUGGGGUAAUGGUCUACCAAGGCGGCGACGGGUAGCCGGACUGAGAGGUUGGUCGGCCACAUUGGGACUGAGGUACGGCCCAGAUGCCUACGGGAGGCAGCAGUGGGGAAUAUUGCAAAAUGGGCGCAAGCCUGAUGCAGCGACGCCGCGGGGGGGAUGACGGACUUCGUGUUGUAAACUCCUUUCGCCAGGGACGAAGCGUUUUGUGACGGUACCUGGAGAAGAAGCACCGGCUAACUACGUG